RNAcentral lists this ribosomal RNA (497 nucleotides) under uncultured bacterium. RNAcentral describes it as "partial 16S ribosomal RNA". It matches the Rfam family "Bacterial small subunit ribosomal RNA", at positions 28 to 507 of the family's 1533-position model. The record is from RNAcentral.
GAUGAACGCUGGCGGCGUGCCUAAUACAUGCAAGUCGAGCGAACGGACGAGAAGCUUGCUUCUCUGAUGUUAGCGGCGGACGGGUGAGUAACACGUGGAUAACCUACCUAUAAGACUGGGAUAACUUCGGGAAACCGGAGCUAAUACCGGAUAAUAUUUUGAACCGCAUGGUUCAAAAGUGAAAGACGGUCUUGCUGUCACUUAUAGAAGGAUCCGCGCUGCAUUAGCUAGUUGGUAAGGUAACGGCUUACCAAGGCAACGAUGCAUAGCCGACCUGAGAGGGUGAUCGGCCACACUGGAACUGAGACACGGUCCAGACUCCUACGGGAGGCAGCAGUAGGGAAUCUUCCGCAAUGGGCGAAAGCCUGACGGAGCAACGCCGAGUGAGUGAUGAAGGUCUUCGGAUCGUAAAACUCUGUUAUUAGGGAAGAACAUAUGUGUAAGUAACUGUGCACAUCUUGACGGUACCUAAUCAGAAAGCCACGGCUAACUACGUG